This 465-nucleotide ribosomal RNA is filed under the name uncultured Klebsiella sp. RNAcentral's name for it is "bacterial SSU rRNA". It matches the Rfam family "Bacterial small subunit ribosomal RNA", at positions 338 to 795 of the family's 1533-position model. Lineage: Bacteria; Pseudomonadati; Pseudomonadota; Gammaproteobacteria; Enterobacterales; Enterobacteriaceae. The record is from RNAcentral.
CCUACGGGAGGCAGCAGUGGGGAAUAUUGCACAAUGGGCGCAAGCCUGAUGCAGCCAUGCCGCGUGUGUGAAGAAGGCCUUCGGGUUGUAAAGCACUUUCAGCGGGGAGGAAGGCGUUAAGGUUAAUAACCUUGGCGAUUGACGUUACCCGCAGAAGAAGCACCGGCUAACUCCGUGCCAGCAGCCGCGGUAAUACGGAGGGUGCAAGCGUUAAUCGGAAUUACUGGGCGUAAAGCGCACGCAGGCGGUCUGUCAAGUCGGAUGUGAAAUCCCCGGGCUCAACCUGGGAACUGCAUUCGAAACUGGCAGGCUAGAGUCUUGUAGAGGGGGGUAGAAUUCCAGGUGUAGCGGUGAAAUGCGUAGAGAUCUGGAGGAAUACCGGUGGCGAAGGCGGCCCCCUGGACAAAGACUGACGCUCAGGUGUGAAAGCGUGGGGAGCAAACAGGAUUAGAUACCCUUGUAGUC